UACGGACACUAGCUAAAAAACUCGGCGAGUCAGCUAGAAAGGCAGUGGAUGAGUUCUGCGACUGGAAGUUACAAGAUAAAGCACCAGGCAAAACAUUGGAAAAGCUUUGUACAGCAAGCAGGACAUAUCUCCCCACCUCAUCAGAGUGUGAGAGGGGGUUUUCUGCCGUCAAUGACACUGACAGCAAGACCCGCAAUAGACUGCGUAAAAACAGCCUCUCAUCGCUCCUUUUUGUGGAUCUUAAUGGACCCCCUUUGGAGAGAUUCGACCCAGCACCCUUCAUCACAUCCUGGAUUAAAUCAGGUCAUUGCCUGUCCACAUCAUGGGCUUCUGGACCAACAGCAAAGGAAGCUGAUCCCAGGCCUGUGUGGUCGCUUCUGUUUCAAGACAACACAGAGCCCAGUGCACACUUCAAGUACGUUGAAGUUACUCUUCUACUCUGUAGAAUCUGGAGCGAUGAUCCGGCUGGCAGGCUGUUCAUUCCCUGGAGCUGUUUCCAGUGCACUGCCGGCUAAGGAGGUGACUCCGGUGUGUGUCAGAUAGUAGUAAAAAAAUUGCAAAUCCGAGUAAGCUCACUCAGAUUUGUUUUGUGGCCGCUUAAGUUGCAACUCAAGUAUUUUUGUUGGUGGUUUCUGGGUCCCCGAAGAGGAGGUUUUGUGUUGAGAAAAGCCUAAUUUGUUUGAACAUUUUGUGUUGAACAAAAAAAAACGGAAUAAACUUAAUAUGUUGGUUGGAAAAAGGACUCCACACUCAAUUAUGAUGGGACUGUGGGGUUUAAGAGUGGCUUUCUUGUGUUUCUUGCUGACUUUGUUCACCAGCUAGUUAUUAACUUUGUCUGUCUGCUGAUAUAUUGCAUGUAUUUUAGAACUUUUUUGCUGAAAAUAGUUGUCUGCCAAAAUAAUGAGCUGAAAUACGCUAAAACAAGCUGAGGGGAACUGUACAGAUGGGCGAUAAUUUUCUGUUUGUCAUUACAAGCGAGUCCUCUCACACUGAACAAUGACAUUUCACCCAUUGUUAAUACAUAAAUGUUGAUUGUGGCGGCUUUAAUACUUUACAUUUUCAAGUACCAUUUAUCUGCUUAUCAUUUUAAUAGUUUAACAAAUUAUAUUAUUAUUAUUAUAUUUGUAUAGAAC
RNAcentral lists this long non-coding RNA (1133 nucleotides) under Dicentrarchus labrax (European seabass). RNAcentral describes it as "lncRNA (ENSDLAG00005034868.1)". The record is from RNAcentral. Lineage: Eukaryota; Metazoa; Chordata; Actinopteri; Moronidae.